RNAcentral lists this ribosomal RNA (462 nucleotides) under uncultured bacterium. Its description in RNAcentral is "partial 16S ribosomal RNA". It matches the Rfam family "Bacterial small subunit ribosomal RNA", at positions 28 to 507 of the family's 1533-position model. The record is from RNAcentral.
GAUAAACGCUGGCGGCGUGCUUAACACAUGCAAGUCGAACGAAGUUUUUCUUUCGGGUGGCACUUAGUGGCGGACGGGUGAGUAACGCGUGGGUAACCUGCCCUGUACAGGGGGACAACAGCUGGAAACGGCUGCUAAUACCGCAUAAGCCCUUAGCACUGCAUGGGGCAUAGGGAAAAGGAGCAAUCCGGUACAGGAUGGACCCGCGUCUGAUUAGCCAGUUGGCAGGGUAACGGCCUACCAAAGCGACGAUCAGUAGCCGAUCUGAGAGGAUGUACGGCCACAUUGGGACUGAGACACGGCCCAGACUCCUACGGGAGGCAGCAGUGGGGAAUAUUGCACAAUGGAGGAAACUCUGAUGCAGCGACGCCGCGUGAGUGAAGAAGUAUUUCGGUAUGUAAAGCUCUAUCAGCAGGAAAGAAAAUGACGGUACCUGACUAAGAAGCACCGGCUAAAUACGUG